UCUGAACAGAGUUGGUGAGAGUGGAGGAGCACAGCUCUCCAUCCCAUUCCCCAGUCUGGUACCAUGUGAGACAGGCAUGUGGCUGUUCAUGGUUGACCUAAUAUUGGGAUCAAACUCACUCUGUGAAAACAGGUAACUUACAGUCUGUUGCUAUUGGAUUCAUUAUGGACCAAUGUGAUAUAUGCCCUGCAGUACACCCUUUUCUAUUCCCCCCUGCCUGUUAUCAUCGUCCACUGCACUGUCCGGCCUAAGUCAAACACUCUAGGGCAGGUGCCUGUUGCUUUGUCUGUAUCAUGCUCUGUUUAUUUUCACUUCAGGUUGUGUCUCUCUUUUUGGAAUUCUCUCACCACUGAGUGACUUCUUCCUUGUGCUGAGGUGCUCUGUUAUGUGUAAUGUGUCUGUGUUAUGUACAUUCUUUUGUUUCCAGUCAGUAAUCUCUGUGGGAAAUGCAGGCCAAUGGACACUGACCUCCUGCAGCCAUCCUUGAAUUUUCUGUACUGGAGCCUUCAUCAGACAACACCUUGUAGUCAACAGAGAGGUGAGGCGAGAUUGUAAAUUGAUUAGCAAUCAAGUUAAUCUCAGUGAGGUUGUAGCUUGGCCAGCAGAGACUGUAUGCUAACUGUCUCAGCAGAUAAGAUGGAUUUUUUCCCCUUUCAGAUGCAUCAUUACAGUUAACAAAGACCAUUUUGUAUUUGGGAUGAGGUUUUUUAGGUUGAAGGUUUUGUUUUGUUUGGUUUUGCUGCCUUCUGUUGAUUCAGGAAUUGGCUGCUGAGAGAGCCACUGUAUUUUUCUUGCUCAUAAAACACAGCAGUGGGGCUUUGGUGCCUUGUUUGAAAUGUCUUGGCAUUGACAUGAUUCAAAAAAUUAAGCAGUAAUAGAGAACAGCUCUAACCAGCCUUCUAGCUGAGUUAGCUGAAGGCUGGUCAUUUUAUUAGAUGGCCAAUUGGUCGCUUGUGCUGUGGGAGAUGAAUACCAGUGUAGAUGGACAGCUUUAGUCUGAUGAGCCAUAGCAGCUGGGGCUGCCUCACUGCAGCAGGGGUGUUCUCUGCACCUCUAUACUGCUGGUCAAGCUGGUUUAAUCUGUGCCAUCCCAUCAGACUCUCUCAUUAUGUUUCUCCCACACAGCAGUGGCUGUGCUGCUCUCCAACGUGUCCUUGCUACAGAUCCUGCAGAAGGUUUUGGAACACACCUGGUUUCGGUCCCCUCGCUCUGAACCUGUUUACCUGUCAUCUGAGGAUGCCUUGCUGUGCUCUGGAUGGCUGUUGGUUGCAUCACUCUUACUGUAUCAGCAUCGCUACAAUACUGAGGUUCACCAGACACUCUCUCUAG
This 1329-nucleotide long non-coding RNA is filed under the name Athene cunicularia (burrowing owl). Its description in RNAcentral is "lncRNA (ENSACUG00000009576.1)". Lineage: Eukaryota; Metazoa; Chordata; Aves; Strigiformes; Strigidae. The record is from RNAcentral.